CAGUAGCCGCGGGAAAACGGAGGGGGCUAGCGUUGUUCGGAAUUACUGGGCGUAAAGCGCACGUAGGCGGCUUUGUAAGUUAGAGGUGAAAGCCUGGAGCUCAACUCCAGAAUUGCCUUUAAGACUGCAUCGCUUGAACGUCGGAGAGGUGAGUGGAAUUCCGAGUGUAGAGGUGAAAUUCGUAGAUAUUCGGAAGAACACCAGUGGCGAAGGCGGCUCACUGGACGACUGUUGACGCUGAGGUGCGAAAGCGUGGGGAGCAAACAGGAUUAGAUACCCGAGUAGUCCCUGUCUCUUAUAC
This 301-nucleotide ribosomal RNA is filed under the name uncultured bacterium. Its description in RNAcentral is "partial 16S ribosomal RNA". It matches the Rfam family "Bacterial small subunit ribosomal RNA", at positions 509 to 807 of the family's 1533-position model. The record is from RNAcentral.